AUUGAACGCUGGCGGCAGGCCUAACACAUGCAAGUCGAACGAAACUUCAGAUAUCUUGCUCUCGGGUGACUAACGCCUGACAAUGUACCUCUGUCUGCGAAACUGCCUGAUGAAACUGAAUCUCUUCCGGCAUCAUAUCUUCAGAUCACAUAUUUAUCGCCCACAGAUCAGGCCGACUCUGAUUACCCUUGUGCGUGAGAUUCUGCCUCAUCGAAUCAACUAUCAGGAGCUGGACUGACACGAUGAUCCGACAAUCUGUAACUGAUACGAGAUCAUGACUCGUACCGCAGGAACUGACUAGCAAUAUUGAAUCCUGCGGGAAACCCUGAUCCAGACUUGUCCCGUGAGUGAACAAGGCCUUAGGGUUGUUGAGCUCUUUCUUCUGAGAGCAUUAUGACUGUAACAUAAUAUCAACCCCCAGCUAAGUUCUUGCCAUCAUCCGCGGUAAUACUAAUGGGGCGAGCGUUGUUCGGAAUCACUGGGCGUAAAGCGCACGCAGGCGGUCGUGAAAGUUAGAUAUGAAAUCCCCGGGCUCAACCCGGGAAUUGCUUUUAAAACUCCACGACUAGAAUACUGGAGAGGUUGGCGGAAUUCCGAGUGUAGCGGUGAAAUUCGCAGAUAUUCGGAGGAACACCAAUGGCGUAGGCAGCCAACUGGACAGUUAUUGACGCUCAGGUACGAAAGCGUGGGGAUCAAACAGGAUUAGAUACCCUGGUAGUCCACGCCCUAAACGAUGUGUGCUAGUUGUCGGGGUCUUAGACUUCGGUGACGCAGCUAACGCUUUAAGCACACCGCCUGGGGAGUACGGUCGCACAGAGUUUAAACUCUCAGGAAUUGACGGGGACCCGCACAAGCGGUGGAGCAUGUUGUUUAAUUCUAAGCAACGCGAAGAACCUUACCUACACUUGACAUGCCUCUUGGGACUUCCAGAGAUGGAGGUUUUCCGUUCGGCCGGCGAGUGCACAGGUGCUGCAUGGCUGUCGUCAUCUCGUGUCGUGAGAUGUUGGGUUAAGUCCCGCAACGAGCGCAACCCUUAUCGUAUGUUGCCAGCAUUUAGUUGGGCACUCAUGCAAGACUGCCGGUGAUAAGCCGGAGGAAGGCGGGGACAACGUCAAGUCAUCAUGGCCCUUACAUGUAGGGCUACAAACGUGCUACAAUGGCGGUGACAAUGGGCAGCGAGGUCGUGAGGCCAAGCUAAUCCCAAAAAGCCGUCUCAGUUCAGAUUGUACUCUGCAACUCGAGUACAUGAAGUUGGAAUCGCUAGUAAUCGCAGAUCAGCAUGUUGCGGUGAAUACGUUCCCGGGUCU
This 1307-nucleotide ribosomal RNA is filed under the name uncultured bacterium. RNAcentral describes it as "partial 16S ribosomal RNA". It matches the Rfam family "Bacterial small subunit ribosomal RNA", at positions 28 to 1381 of the family's 1533-position model. The record is from RNAcentral.